GCAGUCAGUCAGAAGAACUCCCUCAGACGGACACCACGUUAUUAAAGUCCAUCAUCCUUGCAUGCGCUACACACUCAAAAGCGUUGAUAAAUGCUGAAUUUAAAAGAAUCACUACUGUCUUAUGUUCCUGGGUGUCACCCGGACCUCCAAUCCAAAAACCUGACGAAACUCUUCUAUCAGAAAGGAGGACAGCUAGCAAAAAGACUUCAAACAAUGAAUGAUCAAAUGACAGAAGGCAUGGAUGAAGUCAGCAUCAGUGUGGUCAUUUGAAGACACCACUGUUGGGAUUUGUGCUCUCAAACAACAUGCUUCUUGUGAUGAAGAAGAGGAUCUUUGUAUAGUCCUGAAAGCCAUGAAGGUGUUGCAACAUCUGGCCACGUUGUUUGAGCUGAUGUAUGCCUUAAACCUGAGCUAUCCUGAUCUCUGCUUUAUUUUUGAAGAAAUCCAAAAGAUUUUAAUGGAACUGCAUUGAGCGUAACUUUAACGAACAGUUUCUUUCAGUGAAAGGAUCAGAAAGACUGUGCUGCUCAUUUAUGUUCUUUUUAUUUAUCUGUUUUAAGUGUUUUUUUUUUAUUAAAACAUUAACAGUUUGCUGCUCAGAGUUGAUUUUGGAAAUGGUUGUUGUAUUUUGUUUUUGUUGAAUCUUUGAUUAUCAGUUUAUACAAAUGCUGUAGCUCUGACUUUCUGAAGGAUUGAUAUUUUCCAGUUUGUAAAUCCAUUUAAAAAAUAAUAGUACUUACUGUUUUGCAUGUCUCUUUGGAAUGCAGUGUUUGUGCUUUAGCACUUCUAAAUCUACUGUGAUAGUAACUAUUUUAAACAUUUGGGUCAGUUUUACAGAUGGGGCUUUUUCUAUUCCCAGACUUUUGCAAUGCCUUAAUUUGAAAACAUAUUGCACUGACAUAUCUUGACAUAUAUCAGUGCCAUUGGUUUGUCUCAAGAUGUACUCCAGUGUUGUUUUUGUAAGGUAGGUUUGUUUGUAAACUUUUUUUGUAAAAAAUAUCCUAAUAUAACUAGGGCCUAGUCAUGGAUUAAUCUACAACCUGUUUGGGAAAUUGCCCCUUUGUAUGUACAGCAUGUGCUGAUUGUUGUAAUAGUUAUUGACUGUUGUUGAAUUAAUGUGUAGUGAUUUAAAUGAAUUGAUGAUCUGAAAGCAGUGGUUUGCCUCAAUAUCACUAAACUUUUGUUUAAAACUCUUUGCUUUUUAUGCCAAUGCAAAUGUAUUUUGUAUUUAAAAAAGAAAUAAAUAACAUUUGGAUAAUUA
Molecule: non-coding RNA, 1261 nt
Organism: Paramisgurnus dabryanus
Lineage: Eukaryota; Metazoa; Chordata; Actinopteri; Cypriniformes; Cobitidae
Source: RefSeq, a predicted model, not a curated record